This 74-nucleotide transfer RNA is filed under the name Halomonas shengliensis. RNAcentral's name for it is "tRNA_Gly_CCC". It matches the Rfam family "tRNA". From Rfam's summary of the family: Transfer RNA (tRNA) molecules are approximately 80 nucleotides in length. Their secondary structure includes four short double-helical elements and three loops (D, anti-codon, and T loops). RNAcentral also lists the same sequence under 1 other name. Lineage: Bacteria; Pseudomonadati; Pseudomonadota; Gammaproteobacteria; Oceanospirillales; Halomonadaceae. The record is from RNAcentral.
GCGGGCGUAGCUCAAUGGUAGAGCGUUUGGUUCCCAACCAAGUGACGUGGGUUCGAUUCCCAUCGCCCGCUCCA